Molecule: ribosomal RNA, 468 nt
Filed under: uncultured bacterium
Lineage: Bacteria
Description: partial 16S ribosomal RNA
Rfam family: Bacterial small subunit ribosomal RNA
Source: RNAcentral
GACGAACGCUGGCGGCGUGCUUAACACAUGCAAGUCGAACGGAAAGACCCUGCUUUUGUGGGGUGCUCGAGUGGCGAACGGGUGAGUAACACGUGAGUAACCUGCCCUUGACUUUGGGAUAACUUCAGGAAACUGGGGCUAAUACCGGAUAGGAGCUCCUGCUGCAUGGUGGGGGUUGGAAAGUUUCGGCGGUUGGGGAUGGACUCGCGGCUUAUCAGCUUGUUGGUGGGGUAGUGGAUUACCAAGGCUUUGACGGGUAGCAGGCCUGAGAGGGUGACCGGCCACAUUGGGACUGAGAUACGGCCGAGACUCCUACGGGAGGCAGCAGUGGGGAAUAUUGCACAAUGGGCGGAAGCCUGAUGCAGCAACGCCGCGUGCGGGAUGACGGCCUUCGGGUUGUAAACCGCUUUCGCCUGUGACGAAGCGUGAGUGACGGUAAUGUGUAAAGAAGCACCGGCUAACUACGUG